AAAAAAAAAAAAAAAAAACAAAAAUAAACUCUUCUUCGACUUCAAGUAAAGACGCAAUCUCAGAAUCCAAGAACCAGAACGUCAGUCAAUAGUACCGAUGGACGGCUCAAAAGGAAAGAGGAGAGGAGUAGAAGAUGCUAAAUCAGUAUCAGCAUCAGAUAUGGAAUCGACUUUACACAUCGGUUUGCUUGCUGUUGCUUUUUCUGAGCAGUUAGGGGUAGUUUCGGGAAUCUGAUGGCCACGUAUUAUUAUAUAUAAUUCAUUUAUUUUUCUUUUUCAAAAUGGCUGAAAGGGACAAUUGCAAAAUAAUUUAAAUUGCGAAAUCGUAGCCGUAGGACGAAAAUGCAAUACCGAGUAGUUUUUCUUGUAUGGGCAGGCAGUGAGAGUGCGUAAUCAGUGUGUGAGGUUUGUUUGGAUACUUUAUUGGAAAACUAGUCGGAUAAUCCUCGUGUAGUUUUGUAUUUUUUUUAACUGAUUUGAAGGAAAUUUAUCACCGUUUGUGUUUGUAUUUGUAUUGCUUUACUUUAAAUAAUAAAAAAAUUACAGUUCAGUUUUUCUCAUUUACGAAAUACAAUUAAUCAGCUUAUGUUUUUUAAAAACAUAUUAAUUUGUCUUUAUAUUUUGUUUUCACUGCACUGUUAGAUCAUUUCAUUAAAUUUUUGUAUCUUUUUCGUUAAAUACGUUAUGAAAUAAUGAAAAUAUUCAUUUUAUUUUUAAAAACACAAGAACUAAUUAGUUCUAUUUUUCAAAUUUAGGGACUACGCUGUAAUUUUUUAAUAUAAUAUUUUAAUAUCUUUGCUUUGACCUAUAUAUUUUCUUGAUGACUUAACGAAAAAGAUGUAAAAUUUAGACAUAAUAAACUAAUAGUAUAGCGGCA
RNAcentral lists this long non-coding RNA (877 nucleotides) under Jatropha curcas. RNAcentral describes it as "long non-coding RNA (JCUR_LNC003289)". The record is from RNAcentral. Lineage: Eukaryota; Viridiplantae; Streptophyta; Magnoliopsida; Malpighiales; Euphorbiaceae.